UAUGGAAUUAGUCGUCCUAUUGAUGGUAGAGGUGAAAUUUCAGCUUCUGAAUUUCGAUUAAUUGAAUCUGCCGCUCUCGGUAUUAUUUCGCGCCGUUGCGUAUAUGAGCCUCUUCAAACCGGACUUAUUGCUAUUGAUUCAAUGAUCCCUAUAGGACGUGGUCAACGAGAAUUAAUUAUUGGGGACAGAUAGACCGGUAAAACAGCAGUAGCUACAUAUACGAUUCUCAAUCAACAAGGUCAAAAUGUAAUAUGUGUUUAUGUAGCUAUUGGGCAAAAAGCGUCUUCUGUGGCCCAGGUAGUAACUACUUUACAGGAAAGGGGAGCGAUGGAAUACACUAUUGUGGUAGCCGAAACGGCGGAUUCCCCUGCUACAUUACAAUACCUUGCUCCUUAUACAAGACCAGCUCUGGCUGAAUAUUUUAUGUAUCGUGAACAACACACUUUAAUCAUUUAUGAUGAUCUCUCCAAACAAGCGCAAGCUUAUCGCCAAAUGUCUCUUCUAUUACGAAGACCGCCCGGUCGUGAAGCUUAUCCAGGAGAUGUUUUUUAUUUGCAUUCACGCCUUUUGGAAAGAGCCGCUAAAUUAAGUUCUAGUUUAGGUGAAGGAAGUAUGACCGCCUUACCAAUAGUUGAAACUCAAUCCGGAGAUGUUUCGGCUUAUAUUCCUACUAAUGUAAUUUCCAUUACUGAUGGACAAAUCUUCUUAUCCGCCGACCUAUUCAAUUCUGGAAUCAGACCUGCUAUUAAUGUAGGUAUCUCCGUUUCCAGAGUGGGGUCCGCAGCUCAAAUAAAAGCCAUGAAACAAGUAGCUGGUAAAUUAAAAUUAGAACUAGCGCAAUUCGCAGAAUUAGAAGCCUUUGCACAAUUUGCUUCUGAUCUCGAUAAAGCUACUCAUAAUCAAUUGGCAAGAGGUCAACGAUUACGUGAAUUGCUUAAACAAUCCCAAUCAGCUCCUCUCACGGUAGAAGAGCAGAUAAUGACUAUUUAUACCGGAACAAACGGCUAUCUUGAUUCAUUAGAAGUUGGAUAGGUAAGGAAAUUUCUUCUUGAGCUACGUACUUACUUAAAAACUACUAAACCUCAGUUCCAAGAAAUCGUAUCUUCUACCAAGACAUUUAUCGAGGAAGCAGAAGCCCUUUUGAAGGAAGCUAUUCAGGAACAAAUGGAUCGUUUUAUACUUCAGGAACAAGCAUAAAGAAAUAUUUAUCACUUUUGUCUUAAUCUUAAUAAAGAAAAGGACUUAAGCAUCUUGGAUUCAAAUAUUCAAACAGUCUUUCUUGUUAUCAAAAUCUAAA
RNA transcript from Solanum stenotomum, 1297 nucleotides. It is a transcript of the gene named ATP synthase subunit alpha, chloroplastic-like, with no coding region annotated. The record is from RefSeq and is a predicted model, not a curated record. NCBI's taxonomy places the organism in Eukaryota, Viridiplantae, Streptophyta, Magnoliopsida, Solanales, Solanaceae. The transcript has a single exon.